This 1043-nucleotide ribosomal RNA is filed under the name Halomonas fontilapidosi. RNAcentral describes it as "bacterial SSU rRNA". It matches the Rfam family "Bacterial small subunit ribosomal RNA", at positions 56 to 1093 of the family's 1533-position model. Lineage: Bacteria; Pseudomonadati; Pseudomonadota; Gammaproteobacteria; Oceanospirillales; Halomonadaceae. The record is from RNAcentral.
UGCAGUCGAGCGGAAACGAUGGAGCUUGCUCCAGGCGUCGAGCGGCGGACGGGUGAGUAAUGCAUAGGAAUCUGCCCGGUAGUGGGGGAUAACCUGGGGAAACUCAGGCUAAUACCGCAUACGCCCUACGGGGGAAAGCAGGGGCUCUUCGGACCUUGCGCUAUCGGAUGAGCCUAUGUCGGAUUAGCUAGUUGGUGAGGUAAUGGCUCACCAAGGCGACGAUCCGUAGCUGGUCUGAGAGGAUGAUCAGCCACAUCGGGACUGAGACACGGCCCGAACUCCUACGGGAGGCAGCAGUGGGGAAUAUUGGACAAUGGGCGAAAGCCUGAUCCAGCCAUGCCGCGUGUGUGAAGAAGGCUUUCGGGUUGUAAAGCACUUUCAGUGAGGAAGAACGCCUUGGGGCUAAUACCCCCGAGGGAAGACAUCACUCACAGAAGAAGCACCGGCUAACUCCGUGCCAGCAGCCGCGGUAAUACGGAGGGUGCAAGCGUUAAUCGGAAUUACUGGGCGUAAAGCGCGCGUAGGCGGCGUGAUAAGCCGGUUGUGAAAGCCCCGGGCUCAACCUGGGAACGGCAUCCGGAACUGUCAGGCUAGAGUGCAGGAGAGGAAGGUAGAAUUCCCGGUGUAGCGGUGAAAUGCGUAGAGAUCGGGAGGAAUACCAGUGGCGAAGGCGGCCUUCUGGACUGACACUGACGCUGAGGUGCGAAAGCGUGGGUAGCAAACAGGAUUAGAUACCCUGGUAGUCCACGCCGUAAACGAUGUCGACUAGCCGUUGGGGUCCUAGAGACCUUUGUGGCGCAGUUAACGCGAUAAGUCGACCGCCUGGGGAGUACGGCCGCAAGGUUAAAACUCAAAUGAAUUGACGGGGGCCCGCACAAGCGGUGGAGCAUGUGGUUUAAUUCGAUGCAACGCGAAGAACCUUACCUACCCUUGACAUCGUGCGAACUUGGUAGAGAUACCUUGGUGCCUUCGGGAACGCACAGACAGGUGCUGCAUGGCUGUCGUCAGCUCGUGUUGUGAAAUGUUGGGUUAAGUCCCGUAAC